Mesocricetus auratus (golden hamster) is the source of this 2506-nucleotide long non-coding RNA. RefSeq lists it as uncharacterized. The transcript is spliced from 2 exons. NCBI's taxonomy places the organism in Eukaryota, Metazoa, Chordata, Mammalia, Rodentia, Cricetidae. The record is from RefSeq and is a predicted model, not a curated record.
GGUCAGGGCAGGUCAACUGUCUAUCUCGUGAGACUCCACAUGAGCAGGCUGGCCCAGCCCCUUCACAUAAGCCCCGCCCCGCCAUCCAGCCCCACCUCCUUCCCAGAGCCUCGUCGCUGCCCCGCCCCAAAUAAUUACGAAAGCUCCGCCUACUUGGCCGGUUCCUGUGCUCUGCUCUGUCUGGGCUUUGGCCAAAGGAGAGUGCCUCCGUGAAGGGUCCACAUGCCGGGAUGAUGCCUUGUGCGGGAGGCGAUCAAACACGCACAACUGAAGCUGCCCUCCCAACCCCGGGAUCUCAGCUGACACCAAGUGCUGCUAGCUUCGGAACGGGUGGUUCCUGGAACCCUUCUUGCCACCGAUCAUGCUGCUACCUUGGACCUCAGAGCCCACGCAGGAGCGGCCCCUCAGUCCCUGAGACCUUGCUGGAGUUCACUCACUCCCCCACAAACCUGAGGGCCCAAGGCCCGCCAGGGAGGCUGUGGAGAGUCAGGCUGCUGGAGGAUGAAGAUGCUUCAGGAGUGGUUUAUUUGACUUUUUUAAAUCAUGGCGUUAAUCUCUUUACAUAAAAACUUAGAAUAUUUUCGUUAGAGAAAUCUCCUAGAUAGCUUGAGUAGGACAGGGCAAAAGUUGUACAGAAAAAGCAAAGUUACACGUGUUUUCAUGUGCUGGUUUUUUAUGUGCUACAAAGACGCAUCUCCCAUUCUAAACCUUAAAAAAAAUCUGUGUGUGUUUGACUACAUGUAUGUCUGUGAACCACGUGGGUGCCUGGUGCCUGUAGACACCAGAAGAGGGCGUCAGAAGCCCGAGGACUGGCGUUUCAGGAGGUUGUGAACCACCAUGUGAGUGCUGGGCAUUGAACCCAUCUUUUAAGAGCACUGACUGCUCCUAACUGCUAAGCCAUCCCUCUUGCCCCUAAACAUCAUCUUUUGAUGGAAUCAACAGGAGUCCAUAGUGGAAAGGCGCAUCAGGGGAUGACAGGGGCUUGAGGACUUUAUUCUGCACUCUUCCAUGGAGUGUAGGGAGAGACUUGUGUUGUCGGAAAGAGCAGCAAGGGUUUGGUCAACAAGGUGAGCCCCCAGGGCAGAGUCUGACCAGCUGACAUUGCAGUGGUCUGUGGACCGGCAGCUCGUCCUCCGCUUCUGAACUGUCUGGAAUUGGGAUGUCUUGAAGAUAUUUCAUACAGAAAUGAAAGAAUAAAAAUGGUGUGAGGAGACAGCUGCACACUGCCAGUUCAAACCGUGACAAAGCUAUCCUCAGGAGCUGAGGAAGUUUCAGGGGAGAUGCACAUGGCACUUACUCUUUAGCAUUCUGGUCCCCAAGCGCUUAGGAAGCAAUUGAACGGCUGCAAAUUUGUCUCUGCUGUGGUGAUCCACUUGAAGUAAUUCAUGUAGAGGUGUUUCUGCUUUGCAGUCACAUGAAUCUGCAUUCCAGAGGUUGGUGACUAAUAGAAGACCAGGCAGAAAGAACACAGACUCCUGAGCUGCAUAAGACAUUAAGUGGGAUGGCUCCCUCUGAGCUUCCUGCUGUUCGUUGCUUGAAAAAUCUUUAAGCUUCUUGGUAAAUAAGUGUGCUGCUUGGCAAAUAAGAUGCAUGGUGUAAAAGUGUGCUUGGCCAUUUAUUGGCACUUACCUGCUGUUGGGAUUUGCUUGGUAAUGUGUUUCAGAAAACUAUUUAAAUUUUUACUAAACCAGGAAAUGAAUAGUCAAAAACAAAGACAAACAAACAAAACUACCUGCUUGAGAACAGAAUUUGCCCAGUGCUGUCUAGCCAGAAUCCUCAAAAUUCUUUCAUAGAGCUCCAUUUCCUGGCAACUAAGCAUUGAAAUACAUAAGCCUCUGGGAACCAUUCUUGUUCAAACCACCACAAGCUUCUUCAGAUCUUAGCACCCUUAAUCCUAAAAACACACACUUUCACCAAUGUAGUACGACUAUUUGUCACAUUUCAUAAAAACCCUGCCUUUCUCCUCUCCCCUUCAUUCCUCUCCCAUGGUCGUGAAGGGAGGCACUGAUGUGCCUGGUGUGAGUCUUGGAGCCUGUUUGUCUGCUCUCUGUAUCCCCCUUAUGUUCAAAUAUUACCCUGCUCUGUAAAGUGUCUACCUAGUUCCUCGAUGUUUACCAACCCACCACUCACCCUGUGCCUCUCUGAAUGCACUCUAUAGUUUUUCAUCGUAGGGUGGCCUUCUGUGGAAAUAGCUUGAGGACAGGGUUCUUCAAAAAGGCAAGCCAUGUUUUAUUUCAUCUCUCUGGCUUUGGAUUCCCCAAAACAUCAUGGCUAUAGGACUCUUGUUUCCCAGUGGUCCCAGCUCAAAUUUGCUUCUUGUUGGGGAAGGUUUCUCAGGGUUUCACACCAUGAGCGAGGUUUGAGUAAACUCCUAUAUGGAGUAGGAGCACCACAGUUAACAUCAGUUGGCUUUGUGUGGAGACUUGCCCACAAUGCUUCAGUGCUGUGGGCCCCGUGGAUACAUUUCUGGAUUGAUAGUAAAGACUCCAGACUUUUGACAAAACUA